This 1295-nucleotide ribosomal RNA is filed under the name Apilactobacillus kunkeei. Its description in RNAcentral is "bacterial SSU rRNA". It matches the Rfam family "Bacterial small subunit ribosomal RNA", at positions 146 to 1428 of the family's 1533-position model. The record is from RNAcentral. RNAcentral also lists the same sequence under 1 other name. Lineage: Bacteria; Bacillati; Bacillota; Bacilli; Lactobacillales; Lactobacillaceae.
ACAUUUGGAAACAAGUGCUAAUACCGCAUAAUUAGUUGGAACCGCAUGGUUCCAACUUGAAAGAUGGCUCUGCUAUCACUUUGGGAUGGACCCGCGCCGUAUUAGUUAGUUGGUGAGAUAAAAGCCCACCAAGACGAUGAUACGUAGCCGACCUGAGAGGGUAAUCGGCCACAUUGGGACUGAGACACGGCCCAGACUCCUACGGGAGGCAGCAGUAGGGAAUCUUCCACAAUGGACGAAAGUCUGAUGGAGCAACGCCGCGUGAGUGAUGAAGGUUUUCGGAUCGUAAAACUCUGUUGUUAAAGAAGAACAAGUGUUAGAGUAACUGUUAACACUUUGACGGUAUUUAACCAGAAAGCCACGGCUAACUACGUGCCAGCAGCCGCGGUAAUACGUAGGUGGCAAGCGUUGUCCGGAUUUAUUGGGCGUAAAGCGAGCGCAGGCGGUUUUGUAAGUCUGCUGUGAAAGCCCUCAGCUCAACUGAGGAAGUGCAGUGGAAACUACAAAACUUGAGUACAGAAGAGGAAAGUGGAACUCCAUGUGUAGCGGUGAAAUGCGUAGAUAUAUGGAAGAACACCAGUGGCGAAGGCGGCUUUCUGGUCUGUUACUGACGCUGAGGCUCGAAAGCAUGGGUAGCGAACAGGAUUAGAUACCCUGGUAGUCCAUGCCGUAAACGAUGAAUACUAGGUGUUGGAGGGUUUCCGCCCUUCAGUGCCGCAGCUAACGCAUUAAGUAUUCCGCCUGGGGAGUACGACCGCAAGGUUGAAACUCAAAGGAAUUGACGGGGGCCCGCACAAGUGGUGGAGCAUGUGGUUUAAUUCGAUGCUACGCGAAGAACCUUACCAGCUCUUGACAUCUUCUGCCAACCCAAGAGAUUGGGCGUUCCCUUCGGGGACAGAAUGACAGGUGGUGCAUGGUUGUCGUCAGCUCGUGUCGUGAGAUGUUGGGUUAAGUCCCGCAACGAGCGCAACCCUUAUUAUUAGUUGCCAGCAUUUAGUUGGGCACUCUAGUGAGACUGCCGGUGAUAAACCGGAGGAAGGUGGGGACGACGUCAAAUCAUCAUGCCCCUUAUGAGCUGGGCUACACACGUGCUACAAUGGAUGGUACAACGAGUCGCGAAACCGCGAGGUCAAGCUAAUCUCUUAAAGCCAUUCUCAGUUCGGAUUGCAGGCUGCAACUCGCCUGCAUGAAGUUGGAAUCACUAGUAAUCGUGGAUCAGCAUGCCACGGUGAAUACGUUCCCGGGCCUUGUACACACCGCCCGUCACACCAUGAGAGUUUGUAACACCCAAAGUC